RNAcentral lists this long non-coding RNA (1136 nucleotides) under Homo sapiens (human). RNAcentral's name for it is "HSALNT0273087". The record is from RNAcentral. Lineage: Eukaryota; Metazoa; Chordata; Mammalia; Primates; Hominidae.
UCUUUCUAUUUUUUUUUGAAAUGGAGUCUUGCUCUGUUGCCCAGGCUGGAGUGCAGUGGCACACUCUUGGCUCACUGCAACCUCCACCUCCCGGGUUCAAGCGAUUCUCCCACUUCAGGCUCCCAAGUGGCUGGGAUUACAGGCACCCACCACCACACCCAGCUAAUUUUUGUACUUUUAGUAGAAAUGGGGUUUCGCCAUGUUGGCCAGGCUGGUCUCAAACUCCUGACCUCAGGUGAUCCACCCGCCUAGGCCUCCCAAAGUGUUGGGAUUACAGGCGUGAGCCACCACACCCUAGCCCUGAGUCUGUUUAUGCUUCUGUCAGGUGUGGCAUGGGCCUGCCUGGGAGCUAUUCUUUUUCUGUAAAGCACAGGCAGUUAAUCAGUGGUCUCUGGGAAGAAUCCAGCUCAGGGUUAUAUUUCGUUUGACCCACUCAAGUUUUAAAAAGUAAAUUAGUUGCCAAUGUGCAAACAUUAGAAGAGUUCACAGCUUCUCCAACAAUACCUAGAAGUUCAUCCGAUGGUGCCCGCAUUCCCUGCUCCAUCUGGAUGGUGCCCACAUUCCCUGCUCCAUCUGGACGGUGCCCACAUUCCCUCCUCUGUCUAGACAGUGCCCACAUUCCCUGCUCCGUCCGGACGGUGCCCACAUUCCCUGCUCUGUCUGGACGGUGCUCACAUUCCCUGCUCUGUCUAGACAGUGCCCACAUUCCCUGCUCCAUCCAGACGGUGCCCAUACUCCCUGCUCUGUCUAGAUGGUGUCCACAUUCCCUGCUCCGUCUAGACUGUGCCCAUAUUCGCUGCUGGCUGCAAAUGCGAGGAGUUGACAGCAGCCUCCCCUUUACAAGGCAGGAGGUGCCACUGUUCGCCAUUGUCUCCACCUAGGGCUUCACUUGCUUUCUAUCUGCAGACAUCAGAGGGACCCACAUCUCUCUGUUCUGACACGCUGUGUGUUGAUGGCAGAGUUUAAUUAUCCACAUGCAAUCUUACUUUCCUUAUUCCCAAGUCCGUGGGGCUGCCUCAUCAAAGCAUUGUAAGAACUGAUAACCAUCUUCUAGAAGUAUCAUAGUGAUAUUAAGAACACACAUCACAGAUCAUAGUAAAUGGCUUUAAUUUUUUAGCGAAAUCUCACUACUGCAA